This 484-nucleotide ribosomal RNA is filed under the name uncultured bacterium. Its description in RNAcentral is "bacterial SSU rRNA". It matches the Rfam family "Bacterial small subunit ribosomal RNA", at positions 501 to 981 of the family's 1533-position model. The record is from RNAcentral.
CUACGUGCCAGCAGCCGCGGUAAUACGUAGGGCGCGAGCGUUGUCCGGAAUUAUUGGGCGUAAAGAGCUUGUAGGCGGUUUGUCGCGUCUGCUGUGAAAGGCCGGGGCUUAACCCCGUGUAUUGCAGUGGGUACGGGCAGACUAGAGUGCAGUAGGGGAGACUGGAACUCCUGGUGUAGCGGUGGAAUGCGCAGAUAUCAGGAAGAACACCGAUGGCGAAGGCAGGUCUCUGGGCUGUAACUGACGCUGAGAAGCGAAAGCAUGGGGAGCGAACAGGAUUAGAUACCCUGGUAGUCCAUGCCGUAAACGUUGGGCACUAGGUGUGGGGGACAUUCCACGUUUUCCGCGCCGUAGCUAACGCAUUAAGUGCCCCGCCUGGGGAGUACGGCCGCAAGGCUAAAACUCAAAGAAAUUGACGGGGGCCCGCACAAGCGGCGGAGCAUGCGGAUUAAUUCGAUGCAACGCGAAGAACCUUACCAAGGCU